This 1927-nucleotide ribosomal RNA is filed under the name human gut metagenome. Its description in RNAcentral is "bacterial LSU rRNA". It matches the Rfam family "Bacterial large subunit ribosomal RNA", at positions 3 to 1973 of the family's 2925-position model. The record is from RNAcentral.
UCAAGUGACUAAGUGCAUGUGGCGGAUGCCUUGGCGAUCACAGGCGAAGAAAGACGCGGCAGCCUGCGAAAAGCUGCGGGGAGCUGGCAAACGAGCUUUGAUCCGCAGAUAUCUGAAUGGGGGAACCCACACCGCAAGGUGUAUCCGUAACUGAAUACAUAGGUUACGGAGGCGAACGAGGAGAACUGAAACAUCUAAGUAUCCUCAGGAAAAGAAAUCAACCGAGAUUCCGGCAGUAGCGGCGAGCGAACCCGGAGGAGCCCAGCUUUUGAUAGUACGAACUUUAGCCGAAAGGUCCUGGAAAGGCCUGCUAUAGUGGGUGAUAGCCCCGUAGGCGAAAGAGUUGGUACGGUACUAAGGAAGCGAGAAGUAGAGCGGGACACGUGGAAUCCUGUUCGAAGACGGGGGGACCAUCCUCCAAGGCUAAAUACUCGUGAUCGACCGAUAGUGAACCAGUACCGUGAGGGAAAGGCGAAAAGAACCCCGGGAGGGGAGUGAAAUAGAACCUGAAACCGCAUGCAUACAAACAGUAGGAGCCUCAUCAGAGGUGACUGCGUACCUUUUGCAUAAUGGGUCAGCGACUUACAUUCUGUGGCGAGCUUAACCGAAUAGGGGAGGCGCAGCGAAAGCGAGUUCGAAAUGAGCGUCCAGUCGCAGGGUGUAGACCCGAAACCAGAUGAGCUAUCCAUGGCCAGGUUGAAGGUGUGGUAACACACACUGGAGGACCGAACCGACUAGUGUUGCAAAAUUAGCGGAUGAGCUGUGGAUAGGGGUGAAAGGCCAAACAAAUCUGGAGAUAGCUGGUUCUCCCCGAAAACUAUUGAGGUAGUGCCUCGUGUGUCGCUCCAGGGGGUAGAGCACUGUUUUGGCUAGGGGGACAUGGAGUCUUACCAAACCAAGGCAAACUCCGAAUACCUGGAAGCGUAAGCACGGGAGACAGAGCACCGGGUGCUAACGUCCGGACUCAAAAGGGAAACAACCCAGACCGCCGGCUAAGGUCCCAAAUAACAGCUAAGUGGAAAACGAAGUGGAAAGGCCGUGACAACCAGGAAGUUGGCUUAGAAGCAGCCAUCCUUCAAAGAAAGCGUAAUAGCUCACUGGUCGAGUCCUUCUGCGCGGAAGAUGUAACGGGGCUAAGCUGUUAACCGAAGCCGCGGAUGCGCUGGUUAUCCAGUGCGUGGUAGGGGAGCGUUCUGUAAGUCUGCGAAGGCGGUUCGAGAGGACUGCUGGAGAUAUCAGAAGUGCGAAUGCUGACAUGAGUAACGUUAAAGCAGGUGAAAAGCCUGCUCGCCGUAAGCCCAAGGAUUCCUGCUCUACGUUCAUCGGAGCAGGGUGAGUCGGCUCCUAAGGUCAGGCCGAAAGGCGUAGCCGAUGGGAAUCAGGUUAAUAUUCCUGAACCUGCGUCAGAUGCGAUGGGGGGACGGAGCAUGGAAGAUCAUCCGGGUGUUGGAAGUCCCGGUUGUUGAGCGUAGGAGGUCUGCAGGCAAAUCCGCAGACGCAUCUCCAAGGCAAAGACACGUGCCGCCACGGCGGCGAAGUGAUCGGAAGUGCUUCCAAGAAAAGCCUCUAAGCACCAGUCUGAUGCGGACCGUACCGCAAACCGACACUGGUGGGCGAGCUGAAUAUGCUCAGGCGCUUGAGAGAACUCGGGAGAAGGAACUCGGCAAAUUGACACCGUAACUUCGGAAGAAGGUGUGCCGUAGUACCGUGAGAGGAGAGACACCUUGAGCGGGAAACGGUCUCAGAGAAUAGGUGGCUGCGACUGUUUAUUAAAAACACAGCACUCUGCAAAGUCGAAAGACGACGUAUAGGGUGUGAUGCCUGCCCGGUGCUGGAAGAUUAAUUGAUGGGGUGAGAGCCCUUGAUCGAAGUCCCAGUAAACGGCGGCCGUAACUAUAACGGUCCUAAGGUAGCGAAAUUCCUUGUC